GCCUUCUCAGUUUACAGCUAAGUCUGAACCGGAUAUGGAUGCUGCGGCAUCGGGUGCUAAUGUUACUGUAAAUGCCGGCAUCCCUGGCCAGGUUCCAUAUGUGCAGGCUAAGAUGAGGGGAAGGGUGGUUAAUGAUUUGGUGAAGAAUAUCCCGGUGUUGUCCGGUACUGACCCCGAGACCGUGCUGCAGUUCCUCAUUCGGGCCCAGGAGGUCUAUGACCUGAACCUGGUAGGCGAUUUGGAAUUUCUGGCACUCUUGGUGGGUAGGACUUCCGGUAGGGUCACUCAGAUACUUUAUACUAAACAUCAUAUCCUUCCCAUCCACGUGGACUAGGCCUACUGGGGAUACCACGUAAAAAAAAAACGACGCACGGUCGAGCCGCAAGGCGCGUUGGAAUCGAAUUUCGAAGGAGUAGAGUCAAGGUAUGGAAGGAUAACCAAGUAUAAAAUGUUAGUUAGGAGAGGAUAGGCCAAGUAUAAAACGGCGGGUGGGAUGUGUAACCGUUCCACUGCCAAGAAGCCUACUUGUAAUUUCAAUGUAAUUUAAUUUAUUAAUUUAGUGUUUGAUUGUUGAAUGCAAAGAACAAGUAUGGAGACAUAGGUCUGUUCUUACAUGUAGAGGAGUUAGCGUCCUUCUCAUACAUGAACAAUAGGCCAGGAAGAGGCUUGUAAACCUUUAGAAAUAUUACGCGAAAAAGUAACUGCAAGAAAUCUUUUAGUUAAGGCAAUAAAAUUUUACUGGUACAAGCUAUAACUUUGGAAAGCGAGAUGUUAAAUAGCCCAAGCAACGCUUCGCAAUCUAUCAAAUUCUGACAGGAUACCGUUAGAAGUCAGAAUGCCAAGAAGCCUUGCAAUGAGGAAAAAGAUUGGCGGAAUACGUAAUUCGGAUGCUCCAGAUUUUUAAA
Cryptotermes secundus is the source of this 905-nucleotide long non-coding RNA. RefSeq lists it as uncharacterized. The transcript has 2 exons. Lineage: Eukaryota; Metazoa; Arthropoda; Insecta; Blattodea; Kalotermitidae. The record is from RefSeq and is a predicted model, not a curated record.